CCUACGGGUGGCUGCAGUCGAGAAUCAUUCACAAUGGGGGAAACCCUGAUGGUGCGACGCCGCGUGGGGGAAUGAAGGUCUUCGGAUUGUAAACCUCUGUCAUGUGGGAGCAAAUCAAAAAGAUAGUACCACAAGAGGAAUAGACGGCUAACUCUGUGCCAGCAGCUGCGGUAAGACAGAGGUCUCAAGCGUUGUUCGGAAUCACUGGGCGUAAAGCGUGCGUAGGCUGUUUCGUAAGGCGGGUGUGAAAGGCGCGGGCUCAACCCGCGGACGGCACAUGAUACUGGGAGACUAGAGUAAUGGAGAGGUAGCCGGAAUUCUCGGUGUAGCAGUGAAAUGCGUAGAUAUCGAGAAGAACACUCGUGGCGAAGGCAGGUUCCUGGACAUUAACUGACGCUGAGGCACGAAGGCCAGGGGAGCGAAAGGGAUUAGAUACCCUGGUAGUC
This 446-nucleotide ribosomal RNA is filed under the name uncultured bacterium. RNAcentral describes it as "partial 16S ribosomal RNA". It matches the Rfam family "Bacterial small subunit ribosomal RNA", at positions 338 to 795 of the family's 1533-position model. The record is from RNAcentral.